UACGUAGGGAGCAAGCGUUGUCCGGAAUCCUUGGGCGUAAAGCGCGCGUAGGUUGCCUCGUCAGUCCGCUGUGAAAGUCAAAGGCUCAACCUUUGAAAGCCGGUGGAUACUGUGAGGCUAGAGUACGGAAGAGGCGAGUGGAAUUCCUGGUGUAGCGGUGGAAUGCGCAGAUAUCAGGAGGAACACCAAUAGCGAAGGCAGCUCGCUGGGACGUUACUGACACUGAGGCGCGAAAGCGUGGGGAGCGAACAGG
RNAcentral lists this ribosomal RNA (253 nucleotides) under uncultured bacterium. RNAcentral's name for it is "partial 16S ribosomal RNA". It matches the Rfam family "Bacterial small subunit ribosomal RNA", at positions 524 to 776 of the family's 1533-position model. The record is from RNAcentral.